GGGCCCGUCGCCUAGUCAGGAUAGGGCGCUGGCCUCCGGAGCCAGUUGCCGUGGGAUCGAAGCCCACCGGGCCCG
Molecule: transfer RNA, 75 nt
Filed under: Nitrososphaera sp.
Lineage: Archaea; Thermoproteati; Nitrososphaerota; Nitrososphaeria; Nitrososphaerales; Nitrososphaeraceae
Also listed under: 1 other name
Description: tRNA-Arg
Rfam family: tRNA
About the family: Transfer RNA (tRNA) molecules are approximately 80 nucleotides in length.
Source: RNAcentral